AGAGUUUGAUCCUGGCUCAGAUUGAACGCUGGCGGCAUGCCUAACACAUGCAAGUCGCGCGGAGUGUAGCAAUACACUUAGCGGCGGACGGGUGAGGAAUACAUAGGAAUUUGCCUUUAGGUGGGGGAUAGCCCAGGGAAACUUGGAGUAAUACCGCAUGAUGUCGUGAGACCAAAGCCGGGGACCGCAAGGCCUGGCGCCUUUAGAGAAGCCUAUGUCUGAUUAGCUAGUUGGUAGGGUAAUGGCCUACCAAGGCAACGAUCAGUAGCUGGUCUGAGAGGACGAUCAGCCACACCGGAACUGAGACACGGUCCGGACUCCUACGGGAGGCAGCAGUGGGGAAUAUUGGACAAUGGGCGCAAGCCUGAUCCAGCCAUGCCGCGUGAGUGAUGAAGGCCCUAGGGUUGUAAAGCUCUUUUGUGCGGGAAGAUAAUGACGGUACCGCAAGAAUAAGCCCCGGCUAACUUCGUGCCAGCAGCCGCGGUAAUACGAAGGGGGCUAGCGUUGCUCGGAAUCACUGGGCGCAAAGGGUGCGUAGGCGGGUCUUUAAGUCAGGGGUGAAAUCCUGGAGCUCAACUCCAGAACUGCCUUUGAUACUGAAGAUCUUGAGUUCGGGAGAGGUGAGUGGAACUGCGAGUGUAGAGGUGAAAUUCGUAGAUAUUCGCAAGAACACCAGUGGCGAAGGCGGCUCACUGGCCCGAUACUGACGCUGAGGCACGAAAGCGUGGGGAGCAAACAGGAUUAGAUACCCUGGUAGUCC
This 760-nucleotide ribosomal RNA is filed under the name uncultured bacterium. Its description in RNAcentral is "bacterial SSU rRNA". It matches the Rfam family "Bacterial small subunit ribosomal RNA", at positions 8 to 796 of the family's 1533-position model. The record is from RNAcentral.